RNAcentral lists this unclassified non-coding RNA (253 nucleotides) under uncultured Actinomycetes bacterium. RNAcentral describes it as "uncultured actinobacterium contains 16S-23S intergenic spacer region". It matches the Rfam family "Bacterial small subunit ribosomal RNA", at positions 524 to 776 of the family's 1533-position model. Lineage: Bacteria; Bacillati; Actinomycetota; Actinomycetes. The record is from RNAcentral.
UACGUAGGGUCCGAGCGUUGUCCGGAAUUAUUGGGCGUAAAGGGCUCGUAGGCGGCCUGUGGAGUCUACUGUGAAAUCCCGCGGCUUAACCUCGGGGGUGCAGCGGAUACGGGCAGGCUAGAGUUUGGUAGGGGAGACUGGAAUUCCUGGUGUAGCGGUGAAAUGCGCAGAGAUCUGGAGGAACACCGGUGGCGAAGGCGGGUCUCUGGGCCGAUACUGACGCUGAGGAGCGAAAGCAUGGGGAGCGAACAGG